Molecule: small RNA, 112 nt
Filed under: Arabidopsis thaliana (thale cress)
Lineage: Eukaryota; Viridiplantae; Streptophyta; Magnoliopsida; Brassicales; Brassicaceae
Description: ATSL268290
Source: RNAcentral
GCACACGAUUCUUACAGACUUCGGUUACACCAUCAAAGCUUUGAGAAGCAAGAAGAAGCUUGGUUAGUGUUUUGGAGUCGAAUAUGACAAGAUGUCAUGUGUAUGAUUGAGU